This 266-nucleotide ribosomal RNA is filed under the name uncultured Rhodopseudomonas sp. RNAcentral's name for it is "partial 16S ribosomal RNA". It matches the Rfam family "Bacterial small subunit ribosomal RNA", at positions 63 to 355 of the family's 1533-position model. Lineage: Bacteria; Pseudomonadati; Pseudomonadota; Alphaproteobacteria; Hyphomicrobiales; Nitrobacteraceae. The record is from RNAcentral.
CGAACGGGCGUAGCAAUACGUCAGUGGCAGACGGGUGAGUAACACGUGGGAACGUACCUUUGGUUCGGAACAACUGAGGGAAACUUCAGCUAAUACCGGAUAAGCCCUAACGGGGAAAGAUUUAUCGCCGAAAGAUCGGCCCGCGUCUGAUUAGCUAGUUGGUGGGGUAAUGGCCCACCAAGGCGACGAUCAGUAGCUGGUCUGAGAGGAUGAUCAGCCACAUUGGGACUGAGACACGGCCCAAACUCCUACGGGAGGCAGCAGCC